Molecule: transfer RNA, 92 nt
Filed under: Caenorhabditis elegans
Lineage: Eukaryota; Metazoa; Nematoda; Chromadorea; Rhabditida; Rhabditidae
Description: Unclassified non-coding RNA F47E1.13
Source: RNAcentral
GAAUCAAAAACAUAGGUUCCACCGAGAUUUGAACUCGGGUCGCAGGAUUCAAAGUCCUGAGUGCUAACCGCUACACCAUGGAACCGCACAUU